CAUACAUUAGCAUGGAAUAAUAGAAUAGGACGUGUGGUUCUAUUUUGUUGGUUUCUAGGACCGCCGUAAUGAUUAAUAGGGAUAGUCGGGGGCAUCAGUAUUCAAUUGUCAGAGGUGAAAUUCUUGGAUUUAUUGAAGACUAACUACUGCGAAAGCAUUUGCCAAGGAUGUUUUCAUUAAUCAGUGAACGAAAGUUAGGGGAUCGAAGACGAUCAGAUACCGUCGUAGUCUUAACCAUAAACUAUGCCGACUAGGGAUCGGGCGAUGUUAUCUUUUUGACUCGCUCGGCACCUUACGAGAAAUCAAAGUUUUUGGGUUCUGGGGGGAGUAUGGUCGCAAGGCUGAAACUUAAAGAAAUUGACGGAAGGGCACCACCAGGAGUGGAGCCUGCGGCUUAAUUUGACUCAACACGGGGAAACUCACCAGGUCCAGACACAAUAAGGAUUGACAGAUUGAGAGCUCUUUCUUGAUUUUGUGGGUGGUGGUGCAUGGCCGUUCUUAGUUGGUGGAGUGAUUUGUCUGCUUAAUUGCGAUAACGAAC
Molecule: ribosomal RNA, 541 nt
Filed under: uncultured fungus
Lineage: Eukaryota; Fungi
Description: SSU rRNA
Rfam family: Eukaryotic small subunit ribosomal RNA
Source: RNAcentral